AAUACACAAAUUUAUUGAUGUCGGUCGCGUUGCUGUGCAUCGCGGGUCGUGUUGCCGCCGGUCAUAUUGUUGCGAGUGUUGCUGUGUUAUUGCGCUCGAACAAUACUUAGAGCUUGCCGUGUUGAAGCUGCAAGAUCAUUUGAACCAGAUACAUUGUAUGGUAUCAAUGAAGAUGUUGAAAAGAAUGAGAUAAAUGAUGAAAUUCAAGAGGAUGACGUAGAUGAUGGAUUUCAAGAGGACGUCGUAGGUGACGAAUUUCAAGAGGACGACAUAGAUCUUGAUGAUAAAUUUCAAGAGGACGAUAUAGAUGGUGAAUUUUUCAAGAGGACGACGUAGAUGAAUAAUUUUUGGAAGACAACAUAUGUGAUGAAUUUCAAGAGGACGAUCUGGAUGAUGAAUUCCAAGAAGACUAACAUGAAUGAGUUGGAUGAUGUCUUUUUUGGUUUUUAGUUGAAAGCAUUAGACUUGAACUAUGUUUUUCUUUUCUUUUCUUGAACUAUGUUUUUUUGUUAUUUUACUAGGGUCAUACUUCAAAUGUUACAUUAGGAAUUUUGUUUACGGGAUACUAUCUCGAUUUUAUUACAAUAUUACAAAUUUUAUGGAUGUACGGUUAAAUU
Molecule: long non-coding RNA, 617 nt
Organism: Vicia villosa (hairy vetch)
Lineage: Eukaryota; Viridiplantae; Streptophyta; Magnoliopsida; Fabales; Fabaceae
Exons: 2
Source: RefSeq, a predicted model, not a curated record